This 253-nucleotide ribosomal RNA is filed under the name uncultured bacterium. RNAcentral describes it as "partial 16S ribosomal RNA". It matches the Rfam family "Bacterial small subunit ribosomal RNA", at positions 524 to 776 of the family's 1533-position model. The record is from RNAcentral.
UACAGAGGGGGCAAGCGUUGUUCGGAAUUACUGGGCGUAAAGGGUCUGUAGGUGGCCAACUAAGUCAGACGUGAAAUCCCUCAGCUUAACUGGGGAACUGCGUCUGAUACUGGAUGGCUUGAGUGUGGGAGAGGAAUGCGGAAUUCCAGGUGUAGCGGUGAAAUGCGUAGAUAUCUGGAGGAACACCGGUGGCGAAGGCGGCAUUCUGGACCAUAACUGACACUGAGAGACGAAAGCCAGGGGAGCAAACGGG